UGGCACUAUUGAUGUGCGGACAGAAAUGCCCCUGAUUUUUUGCUUGAUUUACCGUUUUGCCUUUCUUUACUUCUUUAGCCUUCGAUUAGGUUUUUUCUGACCUUUACCUUUGUUUUGCCUUUUCUCUCUCGCCACCGAUCUCUUCUUGGAUCCGUCUUCUCUCUCACAAAUCUUUGCUUCUGUCAUUUUCGAACUACAAAUCUCUUCUUCCGUCUUCUGUUUGCGCUCUGUUGGCUUCUCUCUAUAAAAGUCCUCUCUCUCCUCCUUCGCCAUACCCAAGCUUUUCUUUGUCGGUUUGCUUUCCUGAUUUCUGCUUUCCCCUUUUGCUCCCUGCUGCAGAUCAGCAGCUGCACUGCUGUUCUUCCUCUCCUCCUUAAUUCUUCCACUCCAAAUACUUCAUUUCAUCAUAACAUUUUCAUACGGCAACGAAAUCGCGCAAGGUCGGAGCUUAUAGAUUCGUAUUAGAACCCUCUUCCAUUUGAUAUGAAACCCACACCUCAAAAUCAACCGUGCUCAAAGAUUCGAGCCUAGAACAGUGACGGUUUUUUGGCAGAGUUUUGCUGAUUCCGCCCAAUCCGGCAGGAAUUUGGUCUCGGCCCAAGAGAGAAAGUUGAUCCUCUCCUGACGAUAUUUCUACCUAUACUUUCGUAAAGGAAGAACCCAGAAGCGAUAUGUUCACUGUUCAGCAGCUAAUAGACGGGGGAAAUGGUGAAGAUGGCAAUGCUGAAAAUGAAGUUUCUCAGACACCAAGAAGUAAUCUUUUCGGCUUCUCAGCCUCGCUUGAUGAUGAGUGUUCUCAUGGAGAUGACUAGCGGAGUGUUCUCAUGGAAAAUUUCAAAUUAAAGGUUGCAAUCAAAUCCUUAACAACUUUUAUGCUUUUUUUUCCUCCCUAAUUGGGAGUAGCUGAGCACGGAACCGUUAAUUUGGGUUACAUUUGGGGAGACUAUAUAUGUUUAGGUGUCGAUUCUAGACUAACCUGUGUCGUGACUAAACGUACCACCAGCUUAACGUACAACAAGUUCUUUCGAUUAAGUCGGGAUGUGGGCCUCACCAUGGCUAGUCUAAGGUCGGGUUGGGAAGAAAUGUUUUGAUGGCUAUAAGUGAUUAAGUCUAAACUUAUAUCUUAUUACCUCAAGAAUAUAUACAUUGGUUUUUGACUCCACUCUAACAGUUUUCAGAUUUUCUGAGGAAGCUCAGAGGGUAGAGACUGCCGCUCGUCUAGCGUACCAGCUUUCCAGUGUUGGUGGCUCGAUGUUUAGCCUCAUGGUGGGUUGAGACACUACUAGUCUCAACCCACAAAUGUUUUGAGUGAGGUGCUGUAAAUUGAUUACUAUUGGCGCUCAAGCAAUGACCGUAGACACAAGUAAAAAAUAGUAAGCAUCAAUAACUUCAGUUCAGAGAAGAAUAUAUUACUUUUGUUGUUUUCUUAUAAAUAUAUGAUAAUAAUUAUGUUAUGAGUAAUUAUUUAUGCAGCAUAAACCUUGGUUACUUGACUGAUUACGAUCACAUGGAAGUGGGACAUGCUGCAUCGUAAUCAGUCAAGUAACCAGGGUUUAUGCUGCAUAAAUAAUGACCCAGAACAUAAUUAUUAUCAUAUAUUUACAAGAAAACAAUAAAAGUAAUAUAUUCUUCUAUCAAUUGAAGUUAUUGAUACUUACUAUUUUUGACCCGUGGCUACCGCCAUUGCUUGAGCGCCAGUAGUAAUCGAUUUACGACACCUCACUCAGAACAUCCAAGGGUUGGGACUAGUAGUGUCCCAACCCACAACAAGGUUAGACACCGAGCCACCAGCACUGGUACGCUAAACGAGUGGCCGUCUCUAUCCUCUGAGCCUCCUCAAGCAAAUCUGAAAAUUGUCAGAGUGGAAAUAAAAAAUCAGUGUAUAUAUUUUUGAGGUAAUAAGAUAUAAGUUUAGAUUUUUCACUUUUAGCCAUCGAAACAUUUCUUUCCAGCCCGACCUCAGACCAACCAUGGUAAGGUACACAUUCCGACUUGAUCGAAAGAACUUGUUGUAGGUUAAGCUGGUGGUACGUUUGGUCACGACACAGGUUAGUUUAGAAUCGACGUCCAAGCAUAUAUAGUCUCCUCAAAUGUAACCCAAAUUAAUGGUUCCGUGCUCAACUGCUCCCAAU
Long non-coding RNA from Malus domestica (apple), 2132 nucleotides. RefSeq lists it as uncharacterized. NCBI's taxonomy places the organism in Eukaryota, Viridiplantae, Streptophyta, Magnoliopsida, Rosales, Rosaceae. The record is from RefSeq and is a predicted model, not a curated record.